RNAcentral lists this long non-coding RNA (621 nucleotides) under Homo sapiens (human). RNAcentral describes it as "HSALNT0242799". Lineage: Eukaryota; Metazoa; Chordata; Mammalia; Primates; Hominidae. The record is from RNAcentral.
ACAUAGUUGUUAAGGAGGCUUGCAUAGAAAAAAAGGAAACCAAAAUAUUUAAGGACUGGUUUUAGCAUUAAUUACAUAAUUUAUAAAUUAUCUUACAUAGUUAUGAAUUCUGAACAAUUCUGAAGGGCCUAAUCCACUUAGCCCUUAACUCUGCUAACAUGCAGGUCUACUUAUCUAUAAAGAGAGGCAACAAUUUGAACAUUGCUAUGGACAUCUGUAGACAUCUUUCAGUGGGAAGCUGAAAAAUUUUCACUAUAGGAAGACAUUACCAUUUCUGGCAAUGGUCAGAUCACCAGAUUCCAGGGGGAGGUCAGGUCCAUGCUCUUUCUACUGCAUCCUGCUGACAAGAAGGGAAAGUGUGGGAACUGAUGGAGGUUCAGCAGGCUCUGUUGUCAGCCCAACAAAAGCACCAAAGAAGUUUCCUGGCUGACAUUUUACUACAUCAUCACGUACGGCGAACUGGAUUGUGAAUGCCCUUAGAUGCCAUUGGAAGGGAUUUAGAUUUCACUUUCUAAGUAGGCAAUGCGAGUCCAUUCAGAGAUUGUGAAGUGGAAGAAUAUCAUGAUCAGAUCUGUGUGGCUGAUGAAUAGAGACAAAUCUGAUGUCUGGGGUUAUAUUAUU